GUUAUAUGGUCAAGUGAAGAAGCGCAUACGGUGGAUGCCUUGGCAGUCAGAGGCGAUGAAAGACGUGGUAGCCUGCGAAAAGCUUCGGGGAGUCGGCAAACAGACUUUGAUCCGGAGAUCUCUGAAUGGGGGAACCCACCUAGGAUAACCUAGGUAUCUUGUACUGAAUCCAUAGGUGCAAGAGGCGAACCAGGGGAACUGAAACAUCUAAGUACCCUGAGGAAAAGAAAUCAACCGAGAUUCCCUUAGUAGUGGCGAGCGAACGGGGAUUAGCCCUUAAGCUUCAUUGAUUUUAGCGGAACGCUCUGGAAAGUGCGGCCAUAGUGGGUGAUAGCCCCGUACGCGAAAGGAUCUUUGAAGUGAAAUCGAGUAGGACGGAGCACGAGAAACUUUGUCUGAACAUGGGGGGACCAUCCUCCAAGGCUAAAUACUACUGACUGACCGAUAGUGAACCAGUACCGUGAGGGAAAGGCGAAAAGAACCCCGGAGAGGGGAGUGAAAUAGAACCUGAAACCGUAUGCGUACAAGCAGUGGGAGCCUACUUGUUAGGUGACUGCGUACCUUUUGUAUAAUGGGUCAGCGACUUAUAUUCAGUGGCAAGCUUAACCGUAUAGGGUAGGCGUAGCGAAAGCGAGUCUUAAUAGGGCGUUUAGUCGCUGGGUAUAGACCCGAAACCGGGCGAUCUAUCCAUGAGCAGGUUGAAGGUUAGGUAACACUGACUGGAGGACCGAACCCACUCCCGUUGAAAAGGUAGGGGAUGACUUGUGGAUCGGAGUGAAAGGCUAAUCAAGCUCGGAGAUAGCUGGUUCUCCUCGAAAGCUAUUUAGGUAGCGCCUCAUGUAUCACUCUGGGGGGUAGAGCACUGUUUCGGCUAGGGGGUCAUCCCGACUUACCAAACCGAUGCAAACUCCGAAUACCCAGAAGUGCCGAGCAUGGGAGACACACGGCGGGUGCUAACGUCCGUCGUGAAAAGGGAAACAACCCAGACCGCCAGCUAAGGUCCCAAAGUUGUGGUUAAGUGGUAAACGAUGUGGGAAGGCUUAGACAGCUAGGAGGUUGGCUUAGAAGCAGCCAUCCUUUAAAGAAAGCGUAAUAGCUCACUAGUCGAGUCGGCCUGCGCGGAAGAUGUAACGGGGCUCAAACCACACACCGAAGCUGCGGGUGUCACGUAAGUGACGCGGUAGAGGAGCGUUCUGUAAGCCUGUGAAGGUGAGUUGAGAAGCUUGCUGGAGGUAUCAGAAGUGCGAAUGCUGACAUGAGUAACGACAAUGGGUGUGAAAAACACCCACGCCGAAAGACCAAGGGUUCCUGCGCAACGUUAAUCGACGCAGGGUUAGUCGGUUCCUAAGGCGAGGCUGAAAAGCGUAGUCGAUGGGAAACAGGUUAAUAUUCCUGUACUUCUGGUUACUGCGAUGGAGGGACGGAGAAGGCUAGGCCAGCUUGGCGUUGGUUGUCCAAGUUUAAGGUGGUAGGCUGAAAUCUUAGGUAAAUCCGGGGUUUCAAGGCCGAGAGCUGAUGACGAGUCGUCUUUUAGAUGACGAAGUGGUUGAUGCCAUGCUUCCAAGAAAAGCUUCUAAGCUUCAGGUAACCAGGAACCGUACCCCAAACCGACACAGGUGGUCGGGUAGAGAAUACCAAGGCGCUUGAGAGAACUCGGGUGAAGGAACUAGGCAAAAUGGCACCGUAACUUCGGGAGAAGGUGCGCCGGCUAGGGUGAAGGAUUUACUCCGUAAGCUCUGGCUGGUCGAAGAUACCAGGCCGCUGCGACUGUUUAUUAAAAACACAGCACUCUGCAAACACGAAAGUGGACGUAUAGGGUGUGACGCCUGCCCGGUGCCGGAAGGUYAAUUGAUGGGGUUAGCGCAAGCGAAGCUCUUGAUCGAAGCCCCGGUAAACGGCGGCCGUAACUAUAACGGUCCUAAGGUAGCGAAAUUCCUUGUCGGGUAAGUUCCGACCUGCACGAAUGGCGUAACGAUGGCGGCGCUGUCUCCACCCGAGACUCAGUGAAAUUGAAAUCGCUGUGAAGAUGCAGUGUAUCCGCGGCUAGACGGAAAGACCCCGUGAACCUUUACUGUAGCUUUGCACUGGACUUUGAGCCUGCUUGUGUAGGAUAGGUGGGAGGCUUUGAAGCGUGGACGCCAGUUCGCGUGGAGCCAUCCUUGAAAUACCACCCUGGCAUGCUUGAGGUUCUAACUCUGGUCCGUGAUCCGGAUCGAGGACAGUGUAUGGUGGGCAGUUUGACUGGGGCGGUCUCCUCCUAAAGAGUAACGGAGGAGUACGAAGGUGCGCUCAGACCGGUCGGAAAUCGGUCGCAGAGUAUAAAGGCAAAAGCGCGCUUGACUGCGAGACAGACACGUCGAGCAGGUACGAAAGUAGGUCUUAGUGAUCCGGUGGUUCUGUAUGGAAGGGCCAUCGCUCAACGGAUAAAAGGUACUCCGGGGAUAACAGGCUGAUACCGCCCAAGAGUUCAUAUCGACGGCGGUGUUUGGCACCUCGAUGUCGGCUCAUCACAUCCUGGGGCUGAAGCCGGUCCCAAGGGUAUGGCUGUUCGCCAUUUAAAGUGGUACGCGAGCUGGGUUUAGAACGUCGUGAGACAGUUCGGUCCCUAUCUGCCGUGGACGUUUGAGAUUUGAGAGGGGCUGCUCCUAGUACGAGAGGACCGGAGUGGACGAACCUCUGGUGUUCCGGUUGUCACGCCAGUGGCAUUGCCGGGUAGCUAUGUUCGGAAAAGAUAACCGCUGAAAGCAUCUAAGCGGGAAACUUGCCUCAAGAUGAGAUCUCACUGGGAACUUGAUUCCC
Molecule: ribosomal RNA, 2799 nt
Filed under: Pseudomonas aeruginosa
Lineage: Bacteria; Pseudomonadati; Pseudomonadota; Gammaproteobacteria; Pseudomonadales; Pseudomonadaceae
Description: bacterial LSU rRNA
Rfam family: Bacterial large subunit ribosomal RNA
Source: RNAcentral